GGGGUACUUCCUGUUGUAACCAAGCGCGAAUUAGCUUAUCGGCAAUAUAAAGACGGAGAAGGAUAAGGACGCGGAGAGAAAUCACCACAUAAAUAUGUAUUUUGCACCUAGCAGCCGCUUUGAAAGAGGCACAAGCUCUUACGGUGAAAUUUGAGGGUUUAAUGCCAAUAAACCUGAAAAAUCAUCGGUGUCAUCCUUCAAUCAAGGGGGUAUGCUACAUUGCUGAGGGCCAGUGGUGGUGGUGCUGGUGGUGGUAUAAACCUCUUUGCGUGUGCUGUGCUCCUCUGGGAAUUGGUUUACGUAACCAACAAUCAUGCACAGAUGACUGACCAACAAGUGUGUGUCACAUUUCGCCAGCUUUGCUUUCAAUGUCCUGGCAGCAGCUUCUUCAAAGGCCACUGGGUUGGACGCCACAGCAGACAGCAGCUCCUCUGCAGAUCCA
This is a long non-coding RNA of Amphiprion ocellaris (clown anemonefish), 442 nucleotides long. NCBI's taxonomy places the organism in Eukaryota, Metazoa, Chordata, Actinopteri, Pomacentridae. The record is from Ensembl.